UUAGGCCUAAAAAAAAAAUGUUGUGUUUCCGGUCACCCGACCGACCGUCCUUCAGAUCCCCCGACUCAAAAGUUUUUAAAGCUGAUGUGGGAAAAAAAAUAAUUUGUAUACCUACCGACCGUUUUUUCUGAAAGAAAAUAAAAAAUUCUAAGUCCCUCUAUCUUUUUAUCACCCCAAAAGAAAACAAUGCUAAUUUUAAACUCGAGGCUUAUUUUUAGAAUGUACUGGAAAGUGGAAUCUUCUUGGCUAAUUAUAUAUGCGGGAUCAUGCGCAGUAGUUAUUUUCGUUUGUCAGUGUUUGAACAUGGCAACACAAUGAGUCCUAUUCAAUGUUCAACGCGGAAAGUGUGACCAUUUCGCGGAGAAAAAAAUAUUUCUAAAUUUUACAGAAAGUAACACCUUUUUUGACAUUAGCAAUGUAAUUCAUCCAAUGUCUAACAUCGAUGAAAAAAAAAUACACAACACAAAUUUUGUGCUCGGCCACCGGCAAAAAUGACUGGACCGAGAUUGAUGACAAUAACACAACUGUUGGAACAAUGCAAUCUUUUGGAAUUAAAUUUAUCAAAUUUUCAUGCCAGACCCUUCUUCAAAAUGAACCUGAUAUUAAUUCAUCUGAAACUGGUCAGCCAAUCAACGCUUUAGACAUUCUGAUGAAAAGCCACAGAUGCUUUGCCAAAAGAAAGUGUCCUGCCAGGUAACAGUGUAUAUAAUAUAUUUGUCUAUCUGUAGGUUUGGGAUGAUGUUUGGUUCAUGUUCCUAUAAAUGAAUCUGCCCCACAUCUUCUCAAUUUCUUUCUCUGACAAUCCCAAACUUUUGGUCCUGAAAUAGGGGAAUUGGGUUUAAAAAGCUAAUUUCCAUGGGGAAGUGCUGCCCAAAUUUUUUUUCAGGGGUAUUUUAAAAGGGGGUAAACUAAAAGUUAUUUCAGGGGGAUUUUAAAAGGGGUAAACUAAAAGUUAUCUCAGGGAGAUUUUUAAAGUGGGUAAUCAAUCUCUUUCUAUUAAAUCCCAAACUUUAGUCUGGUAACUGGAAAUUGAGUUUUAUAUAUUAAUAUUAUUAAAAAAAAAAAAAAAAAAAAAAAAAAAUCCCUACCUACCGUCCCUUCAAAAUUUCAAGGGGGUGAUCGGAAACACAUUAUUUUUUUUAGGC
RNAcentral lists this long non-coding RNA (1145 nucleotides) under Mytilus galloprovincialis (Mediterranean mussel). Lineage: Eukaryota; Metazoa; Mollusca; Bivalvia; Mytilida; Mytilidae. The record is from RNAcentral.